GCUCCAUCUGCCUGAACACUGUUGCUGCUGCUCGACAAAGAGCUUCGGCUGGCUGUUUAACACCAACAUUUGUUGAGCUGGAUCUUAUAAUGGCCCAGUAUGGGCCUGUCUAUGAGACUCCAUAACCCUCUUGGUACCAAUAAAACCUGGUGUAGACAGCCAGUCUCCCUUGGGUAACUGUCUUUGACUGCAAACAUUCCCAGUACUUCAUUCCUUAGAGGGAAAGAGAGGGGACCAGCUGUAACUGCCUAAUUUAUCAGAGAACCUUGGGGCAGGAUGACAUCAUAUUACCCCCAAUACAACUUUAACUAAAUCCAGCAGUCUGAAACCAGUCCCUAGAUCAAAACAAGAAAACAAGAAAGAAAAGCAGAGAGAUAUCAAUGGAGAUUAAAUGAAAAUAGCCAUAUGCAAAGACAAGGUGUCAACAAGGCCAUGGAAUCUAAGAUGGAACAGUCCAAAAUCUUGCAUAUACCAGGAG
Ctenopharyngodon idella (grass carp) is the source of this 478-nucleotide long non-coding RNA. RefSeq lists it as uncharacterized. The record is from RefSeq and is a predicted model, not a curated record. Lineage: Eukaryota; Metazoa; Chordata; Actinopteri; Cypriniformes; Xenocyprididae. The transcript is spliced from 3 exons.